This 468-nucleotide ribosomal RNA is filed under the name uncultured bacterium. RNAcentral's name for it is "partial 16S ribosomal RNA". It matches the Rfam family "Bacterial small subunit ribosomal RNA", at positions 28 to 507 of the family's 1533-position model. The record is from RNAcentral.
GACGAACGCUGGCGGCGUGCUUAACACAUGCAAGUCGAACGGAAAGGCCCUGCUUUUGUGGGUUGCUCGAGUGGCGAACGGGUGAGUAACACGUGAGUAUCCUGCCCUUGACUUUGGGAUAACUUCAGGAAACUGGGGCUAUUACCGGAUAUGAGCUCCUGCUGCAUGGUGGGGGUUGUUAAGUCUCGGCGGUUGGGGAUGGAUUCGCGGCUUAUGAGCUUGUUGGUGGGGUAGUGGCUUACCAAGGCUUUGACGGGUAGCCGGCCUGAGAGGGUGACAGGCGAGACAGGGACUAAGAUACGACGCAGGGUAGCAGGGGAGACAACAGCGGAGAGGAAUGCACAAUGGAGGGGAGACGGAGGCAGAGGGACCGAGGGCGGGAUGAUGGAAUUCGGGGUGUAAACCGAUAAAACCUGUGACGAAGCGGGCGUGACGGUAAUGGGUAAAGAAGCACCGGCUAACUACGUG